RNAcentral lists this ribosomal RNA (254 nucleotides) under uncultured bacterium. RNAcentral describes it as "partial 16S ribosomal RNA". It matches the Rfam family "Bacterial small subunit ribosomal RNA", at positions 524 to 776 of the family's 1533-position model. The record is from RNAcentral.
UACGUAGGGUGCAAGCGUUAAUCGGAAUUACUGGGCGUAAAGCGUGCGCAGGCGGUUCGUUGUGUCGGUGGUGAAAGCCCCGGGCUUAACCUGGGAAUGGCCAUGGAAACUGGCGAACUGGAGUGUGGCAGAGGGGGGUGGAAUUCCGCGUGUAGCAGUGAAAUGCGUAGAGAUGCGGAGGAACACCGAUGGCGAAGGCAGCCCCCCUGGGCUAGCACUGACGCUCAGGCACGAAAGCGUGGGGAGCAAACAGG